Molecule: ribosomal RNA, 775 nt
Filed under: uncultured Neocallimastigales
Lineage: Eukaryota; Fungi; Neocallimastigomycota; Neocallimastigomycetes; Neocallimastigales
Description: partial large subunit ribosomal RNA
Rfam family: Eukaryotic large subunit ribosomal RNA
Source: RNAcentral
CGCAUCUGUGCAUGCAGCAUAUCAAUAAGCGGAGGAAAAGAAACUAACAAGGAUUCCCCUAGUAACGGCGAGUGAAGCGGGAAGAGCUCAAAUUUGAAAUCUUAAAGGGUUUCCCUUUACGAAUUGUAGUUUAAAGAAGUGUUUUCUGUUGAGGUUUUGGUAAAAGUUCUUUGGAAUAGGACAUCAUAGAGGGUGAGAAUCCCGUAUUUGACCUUUACUUUCAACUUUGUGAUACACUUUCAAAGAGUCGGAUUGUUUGGGAAUGCAGUCCAAAAUGGGUGGUAAAUUUCAUCUAAAGCUAAAUAUUGGCGAGAGACCGAUAGCGAACAAGUACCGUGAGGGAAAGAUGAAAAGAACUUUGAAAAGAGAGUUAAACAGUAGCGUGAAAUUGUCAAAAGGGAAGCGUUUGACACCAGUGUUGUUUUUCUGAAAAUCAAUUAAAGAACUGUUUAUGCUAAGCUGUUUAGACUUUAUCAGCUAACUGUUUAGUUUUGAGCUUUCCUUUAAUGCACUUUUCAGUUAACAAGUCAACAUCAAUUUCUUUUGCUGUAAAAAAGCUUGAGGAAGGUGGCUUGAGAUUCGUCUUAAGUGUUUAUAGCCUCUUGCCUAUGCAGUCGGAGAGAUUGAGGUCUGCAGCGUAGAUCCUUCGGGGCUAAAUGCAUUUGUGCUAAGUUAUAGCAUUUUAUAGACAACUUGUUGACUAUGAUUUGUCUUGUAGCUUACUCGCUUAUGUUAUUUUACCUACGCUUAGGAUGUUGAGUCAUCACACAUCUCU